UUGCCGUGGGUUUGCAAGAUGGAGGACCUCAAAAGGAUUUUGUUCUCGUAGGUGAAGUAUCUCGUGAGGUUAAAGUGCUGUGCUGCGAGCUCAUGAGGUGUUGGCAUAACAAUUGCCCUUAAGUCGAAGGGAAUGUUAUACAAUGGCCUUGCCUAAGACGUGAUUAUGUGGGACCUAUGUCUUACCCUUAUAGAUGUGGUCUUAGUUGAUGCAAUUGUCACGGACUGCGGAUCAAAGCUCGAAAUCGUUGCGCAC
RNAcentral lists this long non-coding RNA (255 nucleotides) under Gossypium barbadense (sea-island cotton). RNAcentral's name for it is "long non-coding RNA (GBAR_LNC019173)". The record is from RNAcentral. Lineage: Eukaryota; Viridiplantae; Streptophyta; Magnoliopsida; Malvales; Malvaceae.